CCUACGGGGGGCAGCAGUCGAGAAUCAUUCACAAUGGGGGAAACCCUGAUGGUGCGACGCCGCGUGGGGGAAUGAAGGUCUUCGGAUUGUAAACCCCUGUCAUGUGGGAGCAAAUUAAAAAGAUAGUACCACAAGAGGAAGAGACGGCUAACUCUGUGCCAGCAGCCGCGGUAAUACAGAGGUCUCAAGCGUUGUUCGGAAUCACUGGGCGUAAAGCGUGCGUAGGCUGUUUCGUAAGUCGUGUGUGAAAGGCGCGGGCUCAACCCGCGGACGGCACAUGAUACUGCGAGACUAGAGUAAUGGAGGGGGAACCGGAAUUCUCGGUGUAGCAGUGAAAUGCGUAGAUAUCGAGAGGAACACUCGUGGCGAAGGCGGGUUCCUAGACAUUAACUGACGCUGAGGCACGAAGGCCAGGGGAGCGAAAGAGAUUAGAUACUCGAGUAGUC
This 446-nucleotide ribosomal RNA is filed under the name uncultured bacterium. Its description in RNAcentral is "partial 16S ribosomal RNA". It matches the Rfam family "Bacterial small subunit ribosomal RNA", at positions 338 to 795 of the family's 1533-position model. The record is from RNAcentral.